Molecule: ribosomal RNA, 254 nt
Filed under: uncultured bacterium
Lineage: Bacteria
Description: partial 16S ribosomal RNA
Rfam family: Bacterial small subunit ribosomal RNA
Source: RNAcentral
UACGGGGGGAGCAAGCGUUGUUCGGAUUUACUGGGCGUAAAGGGCGCGUAGGCGGUCAGCACAAGUCAGUUGUGAAAUCUCCGGGCUUAACUCGGAAAGGUCAACUGAUACUGUGCGACUAGAGUGCGGAAGGGGCAACUGGAAUUCUCGGUGUAGCGGUGAAAUGCGUAGAUAUCGAGAGGAACACCUGCGGCGAAGGCAGGUCCCUGGGUUGACACUGACGCUCAUGCACGAAAGCGUGGGGAGCAAACAGG